This 136-nucleotide microRNA precursor is filed under the name Gossypium arboreum. RNAcentral describes it as "MIR7502 microRNA precursor family". It matches the Rfam family "MIR7502 microRNA precursor family". The record is from Rfam by way of RNAcentral. Lineage: Eukaryota; Viridiplantae; Streptophyta; Magnoliopsida; Malvales; Malvaceae.
AGUUAAAAAUUUUAACCAUUUCUAUCUUUAAAAACCAACAUAGCUUACGAAAUAACAAGAAUAGCAUGCUGUGUGUACUUUAUGAUGCCAUACGAGGACCAAUUUUUAAUUCUAGAAUUGAUGAAAUUUUUUAACA